RNAcentral lists this ribosomal RNA (490 nucleotides) under Ravinia acerba. RNAcentral's name for it is "partial 16S ribosomal RNA". It matches the Rfam family "Bacterial large subunit ribosomal RNA", at positions 1852 to 2599 of the family's 2925-position model. Lineage: Eukaryota; Metazoa; Arthropoda; Insecta; Diptera; Sarcophagidae. The record is from RNAcentral.
AGUCUACCUGCCCACUGAAUAAUUUAAAUGGCCGCAGUAUACUAACUGUGCAAAGGUAGCAUAAUCAUUAGUCUUUUAAUUGAAGGCUGGUAUGAAUGGUUGGACGAGAUAUUAACUGUUUCAUAAAAAUUUAUAAUAGAAUUUUAUUUUUUAGUCAAAAAGCUAAAAUAAAAUUAAAAGACGAGAAGACCCUAUAAAUCUUUAUAUAUAAGUUAUUAGAAUUUUGUAGAUUUUUUUUAUUAUAAUAAUUAACUAUAUUUUAUUGGGGUGAUAUUAAAAUUUAAUAAACUUUUAAUUAUUAAAAUCAUUAAUUUAUGAAUAAUUGAUCCGUUAAUAACGAUUAAAAAAAUAAGUUACUUUAGGGAUAACAGCGUAAUUUUUUUGGAGAGUUCAUAUCGAUAAAAAAGAUUGCGACCUCGAUGUUGGAUUAAGAUAUAAUUUUAGGUGUAGCCGCUUAAAUUUUAAGUCUGUUCGACUUUUAAAUUCUUAC